This 577-nucleotide ribosomal RNA is filed under the name uncultured bacterium. Its description in RNAcentral is "bacterial SSU rRNA". It matches the Rfam family "Bacterial small subunit ribosomal RNA", at positions 274 to 842 of the family's 1533-position model. The record is from RNAcentral.
CGAUGAUGCAUAGCCGAGUUGAGAGACUGAUCGGCCACAAUGGAACUGAGACACGGUCCAUACUCCUACGGGAGGCAGCAGUAGGGAAUCUUCCACAAUGGGCGCAAGCCUGAUGGAGCAACACCGCGUGAGUGAAGAAGGGUUUCGGCUCGUAAAGCUCUGUUGUUGGAGAAGAACGUGCGUGAGAGUAACUGUUCACGCAGUGACGGUAUCCAACCAGAAAGUCACGGCUAACUACGUGCCAGCAGCCGCGGUAAUACGUAGGUGGCAAGCGUUAUCCGGAUUUAUUGGGCGUAAAGCGAGCGCAGGCGGUUGCUUAGGUCUGAUGUGAAAGCCUUCGGCUUAACCGAAGAAGUGCAUCGGAAACCGGGCAACUUGAGUGCAGAAGAGGACAGUGGAACUCCAUGUGUAGCGGUGGAAUGCGUAGAUAUAUGGAAGAACACCAGUGGCGAAGGCGGCUGUCUGGUCUGCAACUGACGCUGAGGCUCGAAAGCAUGGGUAGCGAACAGGAUUAGAUACCCUGGUAGUCCAUGCCGUAAACGAUGAGUGCUAGGUGUUGGAGGGUUUCCGCCCUUCA